UGGCUACAAAAUAACUUAUUUUGUAGCCACUUUGAGUUACGAUAAUUACUAUAUUAAUUUAUAAGAUUAUAGUAACUCCUUACUAAGUGGUUUACUAAACAUUACGGUAAAUAUCUCUAUGUGUUAUAGUAACCCAACUAUCGUAAAUUAGUAUAUAAAAUUAUCGUAAAUGGAGGUGGCUACAGAAUAACAUAUUUUGUAGCUA
This 205-nucleotide microRNA precursor is filed under the name Sorghum bicolor (sorghum). RNAcentral's name for it is "MIR6217 microRNA precursor family". It matches the Rfam family "MIR6217 microRNA precursor family". Lineage: Eukaryota; Viridiplantae; Streptophyta; Magnoliopsida; Poales; Poaceae. The record is from Rfam by way of RNAcentral.